This 1082-nucleotide long non-coding RNA is filed under the name Homo sapiens (human). Its description in RNAcentral is "ETS2 antisense RNA 1". The record is from RNAcentral. Lineage: Eukaryota; Metazoa; Chordata; Mammalia; Primates; Hominidae.
CCCAUUCCUCUGUGUCUGUAACAGGGGAGCUUCUUCCUUCUUUCUUCUCCCUUCUUUCUUGCCUGUUAAACUCUCUGCUUCUUAAAACCACUCCAUGUAUGUCCAGGUCAUUUUAUCUAAUUUGGAGACGGAGAACCCUGGUGUUCCUCUGCUCAUCAGAGCCGUCUCACCUGCAAGGGCCAGGAUCCAGCACUAGGGCUGCCCUUUAUGUUCAUGCAGCCUCCACUAGGAAGAUCCUCCUUAGCUGCCACCUGCUGUAAAGGGAUCUAUCUAUCUAUCUGUCUAUCUAUCUAUCUAUCUAUCUUUCUAUCUACCUGUCGAGAGAGAGAGAGGUUUAUUAUAAGGAAUUGACUCAUGUGAUUAUGGAGGCUGAGAAGUUCCACAGUCUGCUGUCUGCAAGCUGGAGACCCAGGAAGGCUGCUGGUGCCGUUCCAGUUUGAUUCUGAAGGCCUGAGAACCAGAACUGAUGCCCACUCAACAUGAAGAUGACAAGGAUGAAGACCUUUAUGAUGAUCCAUUCCCACUUACUGAAUAGGCAGAGCAGGGAGAUGAGGACCUGCUUGCCAAUGUUGAAAACAUCCAGGAGGGGCAGCUCAGGGGUUCCCCUGCAGUUUCCUAACAGCGGCUCACUGGGGGGCGUCUGGCACUCAAGACAUCAGAAUCCACAUCAGAAUCACCAAGUUGAUACAAAUGAAAAACUGCCUUCUCCCAGGUCCAGAACUUCUGGCUAUUCAUAUCAAAGAUUCCAGAUACCAACAUUUCUCACUUAGGAACUGUCAUCUCUUUAUUAACUGAACUACUUAGGAAAAUCAUGCACAAUUUGUCAAGUCUGAGGAACCAAUUACCAUGAGAAAUGGAAUCCAAGCCUGUUGGCACUUCUUGCAGUGUUUGCUCUUCAUUUAGAGAAGGAAAAACAGCAAACAGGGACCCAUCAAAGGUGUCAAAGGCUGGCUGGCGCUGCAAAAACAGAUGGAAAAAAAAUGGAAAUACAAUAUUUAAACUGAUUGAAUUACCUGUUGUAAAAGUGGUCUGUGGGCAAUCCUACCAAUAGUCCCUGAUUAAACUGGCAAUUUUGAAGCAAA